CACGUAGGGCGCAAGCGUUGUCCGGAAUUAUUGGGCGUAAAGAGCUCGUAGGCGGUCUGUUACGUCUGCUGUGAAAACCCUGGGCUUAACCCUGGGCUUGCAGUGGAUACGGGCAGACUAGAGGCAGGUAGGGGAGAAUGGAAUUCCCGGUGUAGCGGUGAAAUGCGUAGAUAUUGGGAGGAACACCAGUGGCGAAGGCGGCUACCUGGACCGGUUCUGACGCUGAGGCGCGAAAGCGUGGGUAGCAAACAGG
RNAcentral lists this ribosomal RNA (253 nucleotides) under uncultured bacterium. RNAcentral describes it as "partial 16S ribosomal RNA". It matches the Rfam family "Bacterial small subunit ribosomal RNA", at positions 524 to 776 of the family's 1533-position model. The record is from RNAcentral.